AGCACUAUAUAUAAACUGAUGGAUGGGAAUUGUCCCCAUUCUAAGUUACACUGUAGUGCAAAAGGAUUCCUGGCUCUUUCCCAUGCACAGAUGACAUAGUACCAUUCUUCUGUUGCUGGACAGAGUUAAGGAACAGUA
Molecule: small nucleolar RNA, 138 nt
Organism: Phyllostomus discolor (pale spear-nosed bat)
Lineage: Eukaryota; Metazoa; Chordata; Mammalia; Chiroptera; Phyllostomidae
Product: small nucleolar RNA SNORA46
Exons: 1
Source: RefSeq, a predicted model, not a curated record